AGUGAACGCUGGCGGUAGGCCUAACACAUGCAAGUCGAACGGCAGCACAGGAGAGCUUGCUCUCUGGGUGGCGAGUGGCGGACGGGUGAGGAAUACAUCGGAAUCUGCCCAGUCGUGGGGGAUAACGUAGGGAAACUUACGCUAAUACCGCAUACGACCUUCGGGUGAAAGAGGGGGAUCGCAAGACCUCUCGCGAUUGGAUGAGCCGAUGUUGGAUUAGCUAGUUGGCGGGGUAAUGGCCCACCAAGGCGACGAUCCGUAGCUGGUCUGAGAGGAUGAUCAGCCACACUGGAACUGAGACACGGUCCAGACUCCUACGGGAGGCAGCAGUGGGGAAUAUUGGACAAAGGGCGCAAGCCUGAUCCAGCCAUACCGCGUGGGUGAAGAAGGCCUUCGGGUUGUAAAGCCCUUUUGUUGGGAAAGAAAUCUUUCAGGCUAAUACCCUGGGAGGAUGACGGUACCCAAAGAAUAAGCACCGGCUAACUUCGUG
RNAcentral lists this ribosomal RNA (490 nucleotides) under uncultured bacterium. RNAcentral's name for it is "partial 16S ribosomal RNA". It matches the Rfam family "Bacterial small subunit ribosomal RNA", at positions 29 to 507 of the family's 1533-position model. The record is from RNAcentral.